Molecule: ribosomal RNA, 465 nt
Filed under: Vreelandella stevensii
Lineage: Bacteria; Pseudomonadati; Pseudomonadota; Gammaproteobacteria; Oceanospirillales; Halomonadaceae
Description: partial 16S ribosomal RNA
Rfam family: Bacterial small subunit ribosomal RNA
Source: RNAcentral
CCUACGGGAGGCAGCAGUGGGGAAUAUUGGACAAUGGGGGCAACCCUGAUCCAGCCAUGCCGCGUGUGUGAAGAAGGCCCUCGGGUUGUAAAGCACUUUCAGUGAGCAAGAACGCCUGGUGGUUAAUACCCAUCAGGAAAGACAUCACUCACAGAAGAAGCACCGGCUAACUCCGUGCCAGCAGCCGCGGUAAUACGGAGGGUGCGAGCGUUAAUCGGAAUUACUGGGCGUAAAGCGCGCGUAGGUGGCUUGAUAAGCCGGUUGUGAAAGCCCCGGGCUCAACCUGGGAACGGCAUCCGGAACUGUCAAGCUAGAGUGCAGGAGAGGAAGGUAGAAUUCCCGGUGUAGCGGUGAAAUGCGUAGAGAUCGGGAGGAAUACCAGUGGCGAAGGCGGUCUUCUGGACUGACACUGACACUGAGGUGCGAAAGCGUGGGUAGCAAACAGGAUUAGAUACCCUGGUAGUC